GACGAACGCUGGCGGCGUGCCUAAUACAUGCAAGUAGAACGCUGAAGGAGGAGCUUGCUCUUCUGGAUGAGUUGCGAACGGGUGAGUAACGCGUAGGUAACCUGCCUGGUAGCGGGGGAUAACUAUUGGAAACGAUAGCUAAUACCGCAUAAGAGUAGAUGUUGCAUGACAUUUACUUAAAAGGUGCAAUUGCAUCACUACCAGAUGGACCUGCGUUGUAUUAGCUAGUUGGUGGGGUAACGGCUUACCAAGGCGACGAUACAUAGCCGACCUGAGAGGGUGAUCGGCCACACUGGGACUGAGACACGGCCCAGACUCCUACGGGAGGCAGCAGUAGGGAAUCUUCGGCAAUGGACGGAAGUCUGACCGAGCAACGCCGCGUGAGUGAAGAAGGGUGUCGGAUCGUAAAGCUCUGUUGUAAGAGAAGAACGAGUGUGAGAGUGGAAAGUUCACACUGUGACGGUAGCUUACCAGAAAGGGACGGCUAACUACGUG
RNAcentral lists this ribosomal RNA (495 nucleotides) under uncultured bacterium. RNAcentral describes it as "partial 16S ribosomal RNA". It matches the Rfam family "Bacterial small subunit ribosomal RNA", at positions 28 to 507 of the family's 1533-position model. The record is from RNAcentral.